Molecule: ribosomal RNA, 404 nt
Filed under: uncultured bacterium
Lineage: Bacteria
Description: bacterial SSU rRNA
Rfam family: Bacterial small subunit ribosomal RNA
Source: RNAcentral
UGAGGAAUAUUGCACAAUGGGCGCAAGCCUGAUGCAGCAACGCCGCGUGAGGGACGAAGGCCUUCGGGUCGUAAACCUCUUUUCUGAGGGACGAGUAAGGACGGUACCUCAGGAAUAAGUCUCGGCUAACUACGUGCCAGCAGCCGCGGUAAAACGUAGGAGGCGAGCGUUAUCCGGAUCUACUGGGCGUAAAGCGUACGCAGGUGGCUUCGUGAGUCGGACAUGAAAGCUCCUGGCUUAACUGGGGGAGGUUGUUCGAUACUGCGGGGCUUGAGGUUGGGAGAGGGACGUGGAAUUCCCGGUGUAGGGGUGGAAUGCGUAGAUAUCGGGAGGAACACCAGUGGCGCAAGCGGCGUCCUGGCCCACACCUGACGCUGAGGUACGAAAGCGUGGGUAGCAAACAG